This is a non-coding RNA of Paramisgurnus dabryanus, 437 nucleotides long. The record is from RefSeq and is a predicted model, not a curated record. NCBI's taxonomy places the organism in Eukaryota, Metazoa, Chordata, Actinopteri, Cypriniformes, Cobitidae.
UGUGCGUGCGUGUGUGCGCGCGCGCGUGCUCGCGCGUGUGCAUGUAUGUAUGUAUGUAUGUAUGCGCGUGCGUCUGUGUAUUUUGAAUUUAAAAUGUUUUAACUCGGAAGGAUCUGGAUCACAGGUCAUUUCAUCUGAGAUCAAUCCGCACGCAACAGCUGGAAUCACUUACUGAUUCACACAAGGGAGGACACAAGUCAGCCGUUUCCUGAAGUUCACGUCAGAGCGGAGAUGAUGUGAGGGGCGGACCAGAAGGAUACAUAGCGAGACAGUCUCCGCUUGGACUGGCUGAGGAAAGUCUCCUAAAUGGCCCUGGAGAUGUUCUGACUGACUUUGGAGGCUUUUUGGACUGUUUUAUGCCCUCUAUUUAAAGAAGACUUAAUUCUGUAUGUUCAGUCUGUAUGAUAAGUGAAUAAAAAGCUUUUGUUUUUAUGUGA